AAUAGAUACCCAGGUAGUCCACGCCGUAAACGAUGAGUACUAGGUGUAGGGGGUAUCGACCCCCUCUGUGCCGAAGCUAACGCAAUAAGUACUCCGCCUGGGGACUACGGCCGCAAGGCUAAAACUCAAAGGAAUUGACGGGGGCCCGCACAAGCAGCGGAGCGUGUGGUUUAAUUCGAUGAUACGCGAAGAACCUCACCCAGGUUUGACAUGCAUGUGGUACCGAUCCGAAAGGUGACGGACCCCUCGGGGAGCAUGCACAGGUGUUGCAUGGCCGUCGUCAGCUCGUGCCGUGAGGUGUUGGGUUAAGUCCCGCAACGAGCGCAACCCUUGUUGCCAGUUGUAUUUUUCUGGCGAGACUGCCGAGAAAACCUCGGAGGAAGGAGGGGAUGACGUCAGGUCAGCAUGGCCCUUACGCCUGGGGCUACACACACGCUACAAUGGGUGGUACAGAGGGCAGCCAAGCCGCGAGGCGGAGCUAAUCCCAUCAAAGCCAUCCUCAGUUCGGAUUGCAGGCUGCAACUCG
RNAcentral lists this ribosomal RNA (526 nucleotides) under uncultured bacterium. Its description in RNAcentral is "bacterial SSU rRNA". It matches the Rfam family "Bacterial small subunit ribosomal RNA", at positions 777 to 1314 of the family's 1533-position model. The record is from RNAcentral.